GAUGAACGCUAGCGGGAGGCUUAACACAUGCAAGUCGAGGGGCAGCAUAGGGUAGCAAUACUCUGAUGGCGACCGGCAAACGGGUGAGUAACGCGUAUGCAACCUACCCUGUACAGGGGGAUAACCCGGAGAAAUUCGGACUAAUAUCCCGUAAUAAUAUCCGGAGGCAUCUUUGGAUAUUUAAAGUUCCGACGGUACGGGAUGGGCAUGCGUAACAUUAGCUGGGUUGGUAAGGUAACGGCUUACCAAGGCUAUGAUGUUUAGGGGUCCUGAGAGGGUGGUCCCCCACACUGGUACUGAGACACGGACCAGACUCCUACGGGAGGCAGCAGUGAGGAAUAUUGGUCAAUGGGCGCAAGCCUGAACCAGCCAUCCCGCGUGCAGGAAGACGGCCCUAUGGGUUGUAAACUGCUUUUCCAGGGAGAGAAACUUACGCACGUGUUGCGUGACUGACGGUACCCUGGGAAUAAGCAUCGGCUAACUCCGUG
This 488-nucleotide ribosomal RNA is filed under the name uncultured bacterium. RNAcentral's name for it is "bacterial SSU rRNA". It matches the Rfam family "Bacterial small subunit ribosomal RNA", at positions 28 to 507 of the family's 1533-position model. The record is from RNAcentral.